ACGUUAUAGCUGCGUAGUCGCUUGACUACACAGGAUUUUCGUACCUAGUUGACCCCAGCCGCCACGGCGCAGCGUCUUCAGAUCUUUGGCCUGGACUCUGCACGUGAGGCGUCAGGCACGGCCACCUCCGGCCAUCCGGCGAGCUGUUAGUGACGCACCCGCGGUUGCACACGCAUAGUGUGCCAGAAUCAAUUGAUCAGUACUGCUGUACUAGUCACCACACUCUAUCCUAUCCAACAUCAGGACGAGGCCCUCCACUUCUAUUUGUAAGUUUUAUUUAUCUGCCAACGCUGCAAUACUCUUCUCUCUCUUCCAUUUUUCUUUUCUCUCACUAGCAAUAUUAGGUUUCAGGAAAGUUCAAAAUAAUAAUAAUAAUAUUAGGUUUCAGGAAGCAAGAGAUUGUUUUAUUAAGAAUAAGAAUGACAUAUUCCGUUUUUCUUAGCAAUAUA
Aegilops tauschii subsp. strangulata is the source of this 449-nucleotide non-coding RNA. The record is from RefSeq and is a predicted model, not a curated record. NCBI's taxonomy places the organism in Eukaryota, Viridiplantae, Streptophyta, Magnoliopsida, Poales, Poaceae.